This 460-nucleotide ribosomal RNA is filed under the name uncultured bacterium. RNAcentral describes it as "partial 16S ribosomal RNA". It matches the Rfam family "Bacterial small subunit ribosomal RNA", at positions 338 to 795 of the family's 1533-position model. The record is from RNAcentral.
CCUACGGGUGGCUGCAGUGAUGAAUAUUGGUCAAUGGGCGGGAGCCUGAACCAGCCAAGCCGCGUGAGGGAAGAAGGUACAGCGUAUCGUAAACCUCUUUUGUCAGGGAACAAAGGCGGGGACUAGUCCCCGGAUGAGGGUACCUGAAGAAAAAGCAUCGGCUAACUCCGUGCCAGCAGCCGCGGUAAUACGGAGGAUGCGAGCGUUAUCCGGAUUUAUUGGGUGUAAAGGGGGCGCAGACGGCGAUGCAAGCCAGGAGUGAAAGCCCGGGGCCCAACCCCGGGACUGCUCUUGGAACUGCGUGGCUGGAGUGCAGGAGGGGCAGGCGGAAUUCCUGGUGUAGCGGUGAAAUGCGUAGAUAUCAGGAGGAACACCGGUGGCGAAGGCGGCCUGCUGGACUGCAACUGACGUUGAGGCCCGAAAGCGUGGGGAGCAAACAGGAUUAGAUACCCGAGUAGUC